Molecule: long non-coding RNA, 1561 nt
Organism: Metopolophium dirhodum (rose-grain aphid)
Lineage: Eukaryota; Metazoa; Arthropoda; Insecta; Hemiptera; Aphididae
Exons: 6
Source: RefSeq, a predicted model, not a curated record
GGGAAAGAUAAAAUCAGAAAUGCCAUCAAAUCAAAUAAUUUAAGUAUGCAAACACCUUUAACAAUUCAAACGGCCAAAAGAACCUGGCCAGACAUUGCAAGAAAAUACUACAAUAAUCAAAUGGCCACUUUAAAUAAAAAGAAGAAAUCUGAAAUGUUUUUCACUACAAAAAAAUGGUGCGAAAAAAAGAAGGCUGAAGCAAAGGCUGCAGAAGAGAAGAUGGCUGCAAAAAAUGUUUAAGUAAACGUUGGUCAUGUUCAUCUACAUCGCCAAGUUACCUGAUCUACCUAGCUACGCUAUGAAAUAAUGGAACGGAACGCUUCGUGUGCAAGUCCGACUCACACUUGUCUGGUUUUUAUUAUUAUUAUUAUUAUUAUUAUGCGUCGGAACCAGUGAGCAACAAUUUUACAUAUACAUUUUUUCAAAAUGUGUUCCUAUUUGUCCAAACUGACUUUAUAACAUCUAAAACUGAUAAAAUAUUUUCUUAUUUUUCUAAUAUUCUCAAAUAAGCAAUAACGUCAAAAUAUGCACAAAUAUACAAAGUUCAAUUUUCAAUGUACCGGAACUUUGUUACAUUACCGGACACCUGUUUUUUUUUUUUUUUAGACUUAUGUAGUUAAUUAUACUGAAAACGUUGGGGAAGUCAGAAUUUGGCGGUCGGCCUUAGUUUCGAAGUUAUGUUUUAAUGAAGUUCGCUAUUUUACGAUUUUUGCACAUUCGCGCGUCACUAGUUUACUGCACCUAUUUCGAAUAUUGAUUUUUUUUUUGAAACCUAUGUACUUCAACGAGUUAAAAAUGACGGUGCAAUCAAAGUUAUAUAGCCAGACUUUGUUUUGAAGUUAUAUGCUAAGGCAGUUUCCAAUUGUGAGUUUUUACGCAUAUGCUCAACGCUCUAGAAGCUCUCUACGCCUAUCGGCUCCGGUCACCAAACUCGAGGUCCUGCGGACCUCUUACUGGAUGGGGCAGACGGAUGAACGUAAAAAAUAAUAUCGUAAAAUAGCAAACUUCAUUAAGCCAUAACUUCGAAACUAAGUCCAACUGCCAAAUUCUGACUUCACUAUCGUUCUCAGUAUAGUUAACUACAUAUGUCUGAAAAAAAAAUUGCAAAAAAAAGGGUGUCCGGUAAAGUAACAAAAUACCUCACAUUUAAAUCAGAAAAACAAAUAUUAUCGAUACCUAAUUUAAAUUAAAAUUAAAAUAAAGCCUUAGUUACUAGCUAGUGAGAAGUGUUAUGAAAUAUAUUUUGUAUAAAUUCAAAUUAAUAAAUACAAUUAUUCAUCACUCACAUUGUUCUCGCCUUUCUAGACAAAUAUGAAAAAACUAGAAUCUGAGGGCCCUUGUCAUUUAUAACUUAUAAUUUGUAGAUAAUAUUAUAUGCAUUUAAAUAAUAUAAUAAAUAUUACUAUAUUAAAAGUAACAAUACAUACAGUUAAAUAAAAACAACAAAAUUAUUAUUAUUUAUUAUAAGUUAACUUAUUUCAUUAUAAUAAUUGUACCUACCUAUAUACUUAGGGCAUGGAAACUUGAUGAUUUUUACGGUUUUGGUUUUUAUAAAAAAAAA